GCAGCCGCCGCGGUAAUACGGAGGGUGCAAGCGUUAAUCGGAAUUACUGGGCGUAAAGCGCACGCAGGCGGUCUGUCAAGUCAGAUGUGAAAUCCCCGGGCUUAACCUGGGAACUGCAUUUGAAACUGGCAGGCUAGAGUCUUGUAGAGGGGGGUAGAAUUCCAGGUGUAGCGGUGAAAUGCGUAGAGAUCUGGAGGAAUACCGGUGGCGAAGGCGGCCCCCUGGACAAAGACUGACGCUCAGGUGCGAAAGCGUGGGGAGCAAACAGGAUUAGAUACCCCGGUAGUCCCUGUCUCUUAUAC
RNAcentral lists this ribosomal RNA (302 nucleotides) under uncultured bacterium. Its description in RNAcentral is "partial 16S ribosomal RNA". It matches the Rfam family "Bacterial small subunit ribosomal RNA", at positions 508 to 807 of the family's 1533-position model. The record is from RNAcentral.